Long non-coding RNA from Girardinichthys multiradiatus, 266 nucleotides. RefSeq lists it as uncharacterized. NCBI's taxonomy places the organism in Eukaryota, Metazoa, Chordata, Actinopteri, Cyprinodontiformes, Goodeidae. The record is from RefSeq and is a predicted model, not a curated record. The transcript is spliced from 3 exons.
GGCAAUUCCAUCAGUGCACACACCACUUGGGGUGGAGUAUGAACAUGACAUUUAUGGGGAUUUGCAUGAAGAUCUCUCAGUUUCUACAGUAACUGUGGAUUCGAAUACAACUGGUUAUGAGAUUCUCGAAUACGAUGAUUUUUCGAAUGACACACAGUAUGAAGAAUAUGAAAUAUAUGAGGAUGACUUUGACUUUGCAGAACGGGAAAGAGCUCAGACCUUGGAUGUUGAGGCUAUACUCAGAGCAGAGAAAGGCCAGAAGGGAG